Molecule: long non-coding RNA, 597 nt
Organism: Pangasianodon hypophthalmus (striped catfish)
Lineage: Eukaryota; Metazoa; Chordata; Actinopteri; Siluriformes; Pangasiidae
Exons: 3
Source: RefSeq, a predicted model, not a curated record
GUUCACUGUUCAGUGUGUUUUGGGUUCUUCUUGGAUAUCUUGGAUUUAUUCUCUGAUUGUAAGAAAAAUGACAGUAUCCCUGGUUUGAUCCUGAGCUCAGGUUACAGUCUGUGUGGAGUUUCACAUGUUCUCCUUGUGUCAGUAUGGAUUUCCUCUUGGUUCUUCGUUUUCCUCCCCAAAACAUGCAGUCCCUGUAUGAUGCAUUCACUCCAGUUUCCAUGAUGCCCAGCUCACAACCAUGUCACAUGAUCCUUUGUCAAACAUCUAUGCCUGUUCUCGCUCACCUGACUACUAAUUCAAUUCACCCGUUCACAAUCACGCACACUCCUAUAUACAUACAUUGCAGAGUCCAGUAUUGUGCAUGAGAUAUUACUAAGCCUUUCCUUAUUUCCUGUUUUGCCUCAGUAUUUUGACCUCAGCUUUAUUUACCUUUCUCCUGUUUACUCUGCGUAGUUCAUGCCUGUUUGACAAUCACCUUACCUGUGUCUGUUUAUUUGAUAUUAAGUUUUAUUGCCUUGCCCUUCUGAUUUGUUUGCUUUGGUGAUUUUUUUAAUAAAAGUUAAAACCUAUACACCUUGAUGGCCUCAUUCUUGUCGA